UUGCCCUACGGGAGGCAGCAGUGAGGAAUAUUGGUCAAUGGGCGGUAGCCUGAACCAGCCAAGUAGCGUGAAGGAUGAAGGUUCUAUGGAUUGUAAACUUCUUUUAUAAAGGAAUAAAGUGAGGCACGUGUGCCUUUUUGUAUGUACUUUAUGAAUAAGGAUCGGCUAACUCCGUGCCAGCAGCCGCGGUAAUACGGAGGAUGCGAGCGUUAUCCGGAUUUAUUGGGUUUAAAGGGUGCGUAGGCGGAAUAUCAAGUCAGCGGUAAAAAUUCGGGGCUCAACCCCGUCGUGCCGUUGAAACUGAU
Molecule: ribosomal RNA, 305 nt
Filed under: uncultured bacterium
Lineage: Bacteria
Description: bacterial SSU rRNA
Rfam family: Bacterial small subunit ribosomal RNA
Source: RNAcentral